GAUCUUAUAGUUUAUAAAAAAUAUUAAAGUGCAAAUUUAAAGAAAUGUGUUCAUUAAGAUCU
RNAcentral lists this transfer RNA (62 nucleotides) under Peltospira smaragdina. RNAcentral's name for it is "tRNA-Lys". The record is from RNAcentral. Lineage: Eukaryota; Metazoa; Mollusca; Gastropoda; Neomphalida; Peltospiridae.